Molecule: small RNA, 436 nt
Filed under: Pseudocercospora sp. 9 MS-2015
Lineage: Eukaryota; Fungi; Ascomycota; Dothideomycetes; Mycosphaerellales; Mycosphaerellaceae
Description: eukaryotic LSU rRNA
Rfam family: 5.8S ribosomal RNA (bases 117-270)
Source: RNAcentral
UGUGAACCAAACUUGUUGCUUCGGGGGCGACCCUGCCGACGACUUCGUCGCCGGGUGCCCCCGGAGGCCUUCUAAACACUGCAUCUUUGCGUCGGAGUUUAAAACAAAUUAAACAAAACUUUCAACAACGGAUCUCUUGGUUCUGGCAUCGAUGAAGAACGCAGCGAAAUGCGAUAAGUAAUGUGAAUUGCAGAAUUCAGUGAAUCAUCGAAUCUUUGAACGCACAUUGCGCCCUUUGGUAUUCCGAAGGGCAUGCCUGUUCGAGCGUCAUUUCACCACUCAAGCCUGGCUUGGUAUUGGGCGUCGCGGUUUUCCGCGCGCCUUAAAGUCUUCCGGCUGAGCUGUCCGUCUCUAAGCGUUGUGGAUUUUUCAAUUCGCUUCGGAGUGCGGAUGGCCGCGGCCGUUAAAUCUUUAUUCAAAGGUUGACCUCGGAUCA